Molecule: ribosomal RNA, 353 nt
Filed under: uncultured archaeon
Lineage: Archaea
Description: bacterial SSU rRNA
Rfam family: Archaeal small subunit ribosomal RNA
Source: RNAcentral
GACGAAGCCCUGGGUCGCAAACGGGAUUAGAUACCCCGGUAGUCUAGGGUGUAAACGCUGCAGACUUGGUGUUGGGGGCCCUUCGGGGGCAUUCAGUGCCGGAGAGAAGUUGUUAAGUCUGCUACUUGGGGAGUACGUCCGCAAGGAUGAAACUUAAAGGAAUUGGCGGGGGAGCACCGCAACGGGAGGAGCGUGCGGUUUAAUUGGAUUCAACACCGGAAAACUCACCAAGGGAGACCAUCACAUGAAAGCCAGGCUAAUGACUUUGCUUGAUUCUUGGAGAAGUGGUGCAUGGCCAUCGUCAGUUCGUACUGUAAAGCGUUCUCUUAAGUGAGAUAACGAACGAGACCCUC